CAGAAGCUGCAGCUGCUCUAGCCGGCGCUUUGCGUCUUCCCAGCUCAGGGGCCGGCUUGUGGGUGAAGAAGCUUCGGGUCGUCUGGGGGUGGCUGAAGGGAGGCCUUGAGGAGUGCUGCCCGGCCGAGCCCAGACAGCCGCAGACGUGGGAGACAGUCAGGACGGCUGAGAGGUGUUUGGUUCUGCCACAUUUGGGAUGUUUUUGCUGGUAUCUAGAUGCCGUGUGAGUCCGCUAGGGCCGCCGUAACAAGCACCCAGAUAUUUAUGGUCCUGUGUCCUGGAGGCAGGAAGUCCGAGAUGGAGGUGUCGCAGGGCUGGUGCCCCCGAGGCCUCUCUCCUGGGCGUGUAGACGGCCGUCUUCUCCCCGUGUUCUCAUGGGGUCGUCCCUGUGCGUGUCUGUGCCCUGACCUCCUCCUCCUGUAAGGACACCAGUCACACUGGAUCGGGGCUCACCCUGUGGCCUCAUUUUACCUUAAUCACCUUUAAGACCCCAUCUCCAAGUACAGUCACAUUUUGAGGUGCUGGGGGUCAGGACCGCGACAUCCAGAUUUUGGAGGAACACAGUUCAGCCCAUAGCAGACGCCCAGAUGGAGGGAGAGGGGGUCGUAGCCAGAGGACGAGCCUCUGGCCCCCUUGGCUCCAUUGGUCCCUGUGCAGGAGGAACAAUUUCAGGCACCUCCGAGAAACCCAGCUCAAGAGGGAAAAUGAGAGUGUUGGUUGCAGGCAUGGCUGGUUCCAGGGGCUCUGGGCCCAGACUCUGCUUCCUCCCUUUGGCUGACCUCACGUGCUCCCCCAGCCUGCCCAGAAGAGGAGGCCCCCCUUUUUCCGGGCCAUGCCACGUGGCACGCAGGAUCUUAGUUCCCCAAACAGGGAUCAAACCUGUGCACCCUGUGCUGGCAGCUCGGAGCCUCGACCACUGGACCGCCAGGGAAGUCCCGAGGAGGCCCUUCCUACCGUUUCAGGGAAGGUCCUGGAUUGGCUCACUUGGGUCUUGGGCUCUUCCCUGAGCCCCUCACUGGGCCAAGCAGAGGCUUGCCGUCCGGUCGCCGUGCUCUGGGAGCUGAUCUGAGGACGUACAGACCCAACUCAGUGAAUUCUGGCUGCCCUACUUGGAGGCGAUGUAGCUACUCCCAAUUUAAAAAGAACCA
Kogia breviceps (pygmy sperm whale) is the source of this 1148-nucleotide non-coding RNA. The record is from RefSeq and is a predicted model, not a curated record. Lineage: Eukaryota; Metazoa; Chordata; Mammalia; Artiodactyla; Physeteridae.